CAAGAUGUCGCGGGGAGUUGGGAUGAGCCUAGCUGAGAGGGUGACCGAAACAGUCAUCGACCCGCUGAACCUGACCUGGAUAAUACCAGCGGAGGAAUCGACAGACAAGUGACUA
Molecule: non-coding RNA, 115 nt
Filed under: Deltaproteobacteria bacterium
Lineage: Bacteria; Pseudomonadati; Myxococcota; Myxococcia
Description: TPP sequence
Rfam family: TPP riboswitch aptamer (THI element)
About the family: Vitamin B(1) in its active form thiamin pyrophosphate (TPP) is an essential coenzyme that is synthesised by coupling of pyrimidine and thiazole moieties in bacteria. The previously detected thiamin-regulatory element, thi box was extended, resulting in a new, highly conserved RNA secondary structure, the THI element, which is widely distributed in eubacteria and also occurs in some archaea.
Source: RNAcentral